UUUAGGUCUCAGUGAGAUGGAUUAGAGGUGUGGAGUCCAGUUGUGAUAAGCUGCUUCUGAAAUGGCUCCCAAUGAUCAUUGCCUCUUGUUACUAUGUCCUAAGCUGUCCUGUCAAGAGGCAAGGAACUGAGUGCAGCCUCAGCCUAACGCCUAGUGAGAAACUGAAGCCUUCAGACCAACAACCUCAUGAGCAGGGCUGGCAGCAGAUCCUUCUCAGACGGAACCUUGAGAUGACUGCAGCCCAGAUGACAACUCGACUUUCACCUUGUGAGAGACCCUGAGCCAGGGGACCCAGCUAAGCUGUGCCCAGAUUCCUGACCCACAGAAUGGUUGAGCCAAAUCCAUGUUAUUAUUUCCCCUUGUGGCCAUCAUUCCUGAAGAGGAUACUGGAACAAACCAGAAAGUACCCAAAGAAAGACUGUUAGUGGGGUGAGAGGUCUGGAAAAUACGUCAUAUGGAGAACAGGUGAACGAAUUAAGUGAAUUCUACUGAAAGACCCCCUUCCUCCUUGGUAAAGGCUUGUUUUAGCAACCUGAUGUCCCCACAGCACCCCCUCUCCCCUUGCUGAAGGCUUGAUUGUCCCCAUAGCCAGAUGGCAACACAUACCAGGAUGUCUAUUGUGUGUGAUCACCCGGUCUGUCAAGAGAAAAGACAAAUGAGGAAUAGAGUGUACCUGGGACUUUCCAGAGUGCUGAGCCAAGGCCCUCCAGAACAGACCGUUGUGUCCUUGCCUUAAACCCAGUGCCUGACAAUGCUUGAUUUAAGUUAACCAAUCAGAUCCCUGUAACCAAGCAUCUGCUUCUGUAAACUCGCUUCCCGCCACCCCAACCUUGCCCUAUAUAAUCUGCUCCCCAACUUAUCCCGGCACGCUCAGUCCACAAAGGCUAAUGCGUCCGCAGGCGCCUGUGUAACCAAUAAACCUCUUGCAGUUUGCAUCCAGUGGAGGCGUGCUGUUCGAUUCUUGGGUGCGGCUCCAGGGUCUUUCACUACCUGAAAAGUUUAUCUAUCAUGAUUUUUUUUUCACAUCUAAAAGAAAGAUGGUAUUUGAAAAGAAGCC
This 1057-nucleotide long non-coding RNA is filed under the name Mustela putorius furo (domestic ferret). RNAcentral describes it as "lncRNA (ENSMPUG00000026877.1)". Lineage: Eukaryota; Metazoa; Chordata; Mammalia; Carnivora; Mustelidae. The record is from RNAcentral.